RNAcentral lists this ribosomal RNA (253 nucleotides) under uncultured bacterium. RNAcentral describes it as "partial 16S ribosomal RNA". It matches the Rfam family "Bacterial small subunit ribosomal RNA", at positions 524 to 776 of the family's 1533-position model. The record is from RNAcentral.
UACGUAGGGCGCAAGCGUUGUCCGGAAUUAUUGGGCGUAAAGAGCUCGUAGGCGGUUUGUCGCGUCUGCUGUGAAAACCUAAGGCUCAACCUUGGGCUUGCAGUGGGUACGGGCAGACUAGAGUGCGGUAGGGGUGACUGGAAUUCCUGGUGUAGCGGUGGAAUGCGCAGAUAUCAGGAGGAACACCGAUGGCGAAGGCAGUUCUCUGGGCCGUAACUGACGCUGAGGAGCGAAAGCGUGGGGAGCGAACAGG